Molecule: ribosomal RNA, 419 nt
Filed under: uncultured bacterium
Lineage: Bacteria
Description: bacterial SSU rRNA
Rfam family: Bacterial small subunit ribosomal RNA
Source: RNAcentral
UGAUGCAGCCAUGCCGCGUGUGUGAAGAAGGCCUUCGGGUUGUAAAGCACUUUCAGUAGGGAGGAAGGUAGUGUAGUUAACACCUGCAUUAUUUGACGUUACCUACAGAAGAAGCACCGGCUAACUCCGUGCCAGCAGCCGCGGUAAUACGGAGGGUGCGAGCGUUAAUCGGAAUUACUGGGCGUAAAGCGCAUGCAGGCGGCCUGUUAAGUCAGAUGUGAAAGCCCCGGGGCUUAACCUCGGAAUUGCAUUUGAAACUGGCAGGCUAGAGUCUUGUAGAGGGGGUAGAAUUUCAGGUGUAGCGGUGAAAUGCGUAGAGAUCUGAAGGAAUUACCAGUGGCGAAGGCGGCCCCCUGGACAAAGACUGACGCUCAGAUGCGUAAAGCGUGGGGAGCAAACAGGAUUAGAUACCCUGGGAG